This 250-nucleotide long non-coding RNA is filed under the name Mytilus galloprovincialis (Mediterranean mussel). The record is from RNAcentral. Lineage: Eukaryota; Metazoa; Mollusca; Bivalvia; Mytilida; Mytilidae.
GUUGGUUGCUUAACGUCCAGCAAUGACAAGAAGAACAGGACUGAAAGACUGGGGACAGACAGAUCUAAAACAUCAAAUCAAAACUUUGAUCAGUUGGGUAUAUUUAGGAGAUAAUCUGAUUCAUGCUAUGCUUUUUGAACUAAAUGUCAUUUAGUGAGCAUCCUUCUGUUCCCCAUGGAAAUUAUGAUUUUAACAACGGAAUAACAUUGACCUUGACCAUUGUGGUAGCGACAGGCUGUCUAGAUCUUCA